AGUGAACGCUGGCGGUAGGCCUAACACAUGCAAGUCGAACGGCAGCACAGUAAGAGCUUGCUCUUACGGGUGGCGAGUGGCGGACGGGUGAGGAAUACAUCGGAAUCUACUUUUUCGUGGGGGAUAUCGUAGGGAAACUUACGCUAAUACCUCAUACGACCUACGGGUGAAAGCAGGGGAUCUUCGGACCUUGCGCGAUUGAAUGAGCCGAUGUCGGAUUAGCUAGUUGGCGGGGUAAAGGCCCACCAAGGCGACGAUCCGUAGCUGGUCUGAGAGGAUGAUCAGCCACACUGGAACUGAGACACGGUCCAGACUCCUACGGGAGGCAGCAGUGGGGAAUAUUGGACAAUGGGCGCAAGCCUGAUCCAGCCAUACCGCGUGGGUGAAGAAGGCCUUCGGGUUGUAAAGCCCUUUUGUUGGGAAAGAAAAGCAGCAGGUUAAUACCCCGCUGUUCUGACGGUACCCAAAGAAUAAGCACCGGCUAACUUCGUG
RNAcentral lists this ribosomal RNA (492 nucleotides) under uncultured bacterium. RNAcentral describes it as "partial 16S ribosomal RNA". It matches the Rfam family "Bacterial small subunit ribosomal RNA", at positions 29 to 507 of the family's 1533-position model. The record is from RNAcentral.